This is an unclassified non-coding RNA of Notechis scutatus (mainland tiger snake), 312 nucleotides long. It matches the Rfam family "Metazoan signal recognition particle RNA". From Rfam's summary of the family: The signal recognition particle (SRP) is a universally conserved ribonucleoprotein. It is involved in the co-translational targeting of proteins to membranes. The record is from Ensembl. Lineage: Eukaryota; Metazoa; Chordata; Lepidosauria; Squamata; Elapidae.
GCCGGGCACGGUGGCACGAGCCUGUAAUCCAGCUACUCCGGAGGCUGAGGCUGUCAGAGCACUUGAGCUCAGGAGUUCUGGGCUGCAGUAGGCUAUGCCGAUCCAGUGUCUGCACUAAGUUCGGCAUCAAUAUGCUGAUCCCCGGGGAGCUGAGGGCCACCAGGUUGCCUAAGGAGGGGUGAACCGGCCCAGGUCGGAGAUGGAGCUAUGUUUGCAGCCUGUUGAAUGAUGUUACUAGUUGUCCAUCAAAAUUUUGUUCUUUUUACUUCUUCUGCUAAAGGGCUGGAGAUAUAUGUGCGUAUGUCAGCAACC